UGGGGAAUAUUGCACAAUGGGCGAAAGCCUGAUGCAGCAACGCCGCGUGAGUGAUGAAGGCCUUCGGGUUGUAAAGCUCUGUCUUCUGGGACGUUAAUGACGGUACCAGAGGAGGAAGCCACGGCUAACUACGUGCCAGCAGCCGCGGUAAUACGUAGGUGGCAAGCGUUGUCCGGAUUUACUGGGCGUAAAGGAUGCGUAGGCGGAUACUUAAGUCAGAUGUGAAAAUCCCGGGCUUAACUUGGGAACUGCAUUUGAAACUGGGUAUCUAGAGUGCGGGAGAGGAAAGUGGAAUUCCUAGUGUAGCGGUGAAAUGCGUAGAGAUUAGGAAGAACACCAGUGGCGAAGGCGACUUUCUGGACCGUAACUGACGCUGAGGCAUGAAAGCGUGGGGAGCAAACA
This 402-nucleotide ribosomal RNA is filed under the name uncultured bacterium. RNAcentral describes it as "bacterial SSU rRNA". It matches the Rfam family "Bacterial small subunit ribosomal RNA", at positions 355 to 774 of the family's 1533-position model. The record is from RNAcentral.